CGGGGGAGGCCGGAUCCUGGGCUGUGUCCCGGCGCCCUGUGCUCUGGGGCCUGCGCUAUUGGAUUCGCGCUCCCGCCCCCCUCUGCGGAGCCGCCG
RNAcentral lists this microRNA precursor (96 nucleotides) under Canis lupus familiaris (dog). Its description in RNAcentral is "mir-8799 microRNA precursor family". It matches the Rfam family "mir-8799 microRNA precursor family". Lineage: Eukaryota; Metazoa; Chordata; Mammalia; Carnivora; Canidae. The record is from Rfam by way of RNAcentral.